AGUCCUCCAACCCUCUUCCUCAUACAAAUAAAUCAAAACUGGAUUAGAUACAGGCAAGUAUUAGAGGAGUGAAACCAAUGAAAUUUUAUGCCAAUCCAACUGAAAAUCAAUACAUAUAUAAUAUAAAACUUAGAUUAACUUCCAGAAAUAAAAAUAUGAAAUAGUUUUGCACGCAAGGAGUCAUGAAAUUCAGAGCACGGUUAACAAGAAACGGAUAAGCUUUUGUUCUCAGGUAAGAGCAUACAAUCUAACAAUAAACAAACACAUUAUAUACGCAUACAUGCAUACAAUAUGUAUGUAUAAUGGCUCACAUCUACAACAACAUCAACAAAUAAUAAAUAUUAGAAAACCCAUUUAACACUGAUCUUGAUUGAAAAUGGAAAGCCCUCAUUAUUAGACAUAAGAUGCAAAGGUAUCAAAUAACAUACUGGAAAUAAAAGUGUGAUCAUACCUGCUUAACUUGCAUUGAGAGAGU
This 475-nucleotide unclassified non-coding RNA is filed under the name Hevea brasiliensis (rubber tree). Lineage: Eukaryota; Viridiplantae; Streptophyta; Magnoliopsida; Malpighiales; Euphorbiaceae. The record is from RNAcentral.